UACGUAGGGGGCAAGCGUUGGUCCGGAUUUAUUGGGCGUAAAGAGCGUGUAGGCGGCUUUGCAAGUCCGUUGUGAAAACUCGAGCUCAACCUCGAGACGCCGGUGGAAACUGCAAAGCUAGAGUCCGGAAGAGGAGAGUGGAAUUCCGUGGUGUAGCGGUGAAAUGCGCAGAUAUCAGGAAGAACACCCGUGGCGAAGGC
This 200-nucleotide ribosomal RNA is filed under the name uncultured bacterium. Its description in RNAcentral is "partial 16S ribosomal RNA". It matches the Rfam family "Bacterial small subunit ribosomal RNA", at positions 524 to 722 of the family's 1533-position model. The record is from RNAcentral.